AUUAUAAAUUUUAAUAAUUUUAAAAAUAGAAAAUAUUAUUCUGAUAUGUAUAUAAACAAAAACUGCUAAAGAAUUGAUAGAGAAUAGAAAAAAAUACUAUUUUAAAAUUGCUAAAGAAUUGUACGAAUUGUAAAGAAUUGUAAGAGAAUAAAAGCAUACAUAUAUAGUGAUAGGAAGAAAUCGUGCGCGUGAGAUCCACUCGCGGCGAUUUCUUUCUCCCUUCUCUUUCAUCUUCUGAGCACAACUUCUUGCUUUUCCGAUGGGUCCUCCGUCGAUCCCGGCGACGAUGAGGACUCUAUGGCUCAUGGUUCUUCAACUACGCAAUAUGCUGCAUCUUCUAAGCUUCACAAACGAAUCAAAAUCAAGGGAGAAGCGAAGAGGGAUAGCUUCUGCGAGACACCGUCGAUGACUCCACCGGUGGUGUAGCGCCGCAGAAUGGAAAAGGAAGUCUUCACGGCGAAGCAUGAGAGAGAAGACGGUUAGAUCUGGAACCGGAGAUCCUGAAGGCUUCAUUAGGUCGCCGCUUGAUGGGGGAGGUUGACUCCGGUCGGGUGGAGCUAAGCCACUGUUGACGGUUCCUAGAUCUACUCCCUACCGCCUUUCAAUCUCACGUCGGAGCUUGAAGCUUUCUCGACACCAACAGCUCAGUUUCUUCCUCUUCCUCAAAGUUUCUCUACGGUGGCGGAGAGGCAAACGGAUCUUGGAUCACCUCCUCCGUUCGAUCCGCGUCGUCCAGGUACACCGGAGGUCCGGUCGGUGUGCAUCCGCAGUUGUGGACGGCGGCUGCGACGCGUUUUGCGUUGUAUAUUAGGGUUUCUGUGGGUACCGGUUAAUUUUGGUACUCCAAAACCGGAUCGGUUUUGUUUCAGUUUGGUUUAGUUUGGUUAGAUGUUGGAUUGGGCCCUAUGGCUAUGGGGUUAUUGUAUGGGCUUAUUCCGGAAAUAUGUAAGCCCAUUGGGCAUUAUUAUUUAAAUUUCAAGCCUUUUCAAAAAAAAAAACAUACAUAUAUAAAGAUUUGCUUUUAAAAUUUUAAAACUAUUAUAAUUUUCUUGACAUGUGUAGACUUGACACUCGUAUAUUAUGCCUUACAUUCUAAUUUUUCUUUGCAAGUUUCUAUGGUGUCAUCGGCCCAAACCCGUCCCUCAAUUCAACUUAUAAAAG
RNAcentral lists this long non-coding RNA (1161 nucleotides) under Capsella rubella. RNAcentral describes it as "long non-coding RNA (CRUB_LNC002627)". The record is from RNAcentral. Lineage: Eukaryota; Viridiplantae; Streptophyta; Magnoliopsida; Brassicales; Brassicaceae.